This is a long non-coding RNA of Mugil cephalus (flathead mullet), 1109 nucleotides long. RefSeq lists it as uncharacterized. The record is from RefSeq and is a predicted model, not a curated record. Lineage: Eukaryota; Metazoa; Chordata; Actinopteri; Mugiliformes; Mugilidae. The transcript is spliced from 3 exons.
UGAGAGAUAGAACAUGAAGCUGACUGAUGUGAAAGGACUAAUCUGUGGAUGUCGUCUCCUCCCAGUCAAAGAGAAUCAAACCUGAACAAACACAGAACAGCAGCAGCUCAGACAGUCAGGAGACGUUAGGAGACAUCGAUGUGGACGUUGAUCCAUACUGCAAAAAUAUCCGUCUGAAAAACAAGUCUAAUCAGGACAAACCACUGAGAGGACGUCAAUUAAAAGUCCAGAUCAACAAUAGUGAACCCAUCACAUACACAUUUGAUCCAUCAAUGGAAGUCAAGGCUGGAAAGGAAGUUACUUUAUGGCGUCCAGGCUUUGCUAGACUCUCUCCUGACACUGGUGACCUGGUGUGGAUGGACCUGAAGCCCUGGGGCCGUGGAGACAGAGUCCAGGUUUCUCUGUAGUGAAAUAGUUCCCAGCUGAACUCCUUCAAUAAAGUUCAGUAAUCCAGCAAACAGCAACAUUAUAGAUGAGAAACAGCACGACUCAGAUCUUCCUGCAGAAACCACACACUGCAGAGAAAGUCUCUGGAAACACUUGGCUCCAUUUUAUUGGAUUAGUCAAGUUUGAUGUGAACACACCAGCUGUGAUUGGCCCACUCAGUAGUAACAUGUUUCUGCUUUAGUUUUGCUGGCUGCUUUUCCACCUGGACAAAUUUCUGAAUGACUAUUCUGGAUCAAUAAAAGUGGAACACAUCAAAGAAAGGUUUAACUGAGGAGGGUCAGAGAUACAGACAUUUGUAUGACUCAUCUUCACAGUUUCAUUCGCAACCAUUGAGGUUUUAAAAAAAAAGACACAGCGCCAACUAUUGUUUGGGUGGUGGUGUUACAGAGCGAGCAGACUGAGGAGGUGCAAGUAGAAAUGACACUGGUUUUGGCUACGUAUGUAGGUUAUGACGUCCACAUGCUGCAGUGCCUUAAAUGAGCCUUAACAUCCCAGUAGUUACACAACUUCAUCAUGUUCAUUCAGUCCUCCUGGUUCUGAUUUAAUCAGCUGAUGAGAGAUUAAGCUAAAAGGUAACAUGGUAAUACAGCUAAAAGUGUCCAAGGGAGUCCUGGCUAACACCAAGACAGAGGACAUUACUGGACAUACAGGCUAACACCAAG